CCCUUAGAUGUUCUGGGCCGCACGCGCGCUACACUGAUGCAUUCAACGAGUUUAUAACCUUGACCGAGAGGUCUGGGUAAUCUUUUAAACGUGCAUCGUGAUAGGGAUAGAUUAUUGCAAUUAUUAAUCUUGAACGAGGAAUUCCUAGUAAACGCAGUUCAUCAGACUGCAUUGAUUACGUCCCUGCCCUUUGUACACACCGCCCGUCGCACCUACCGAUUGAAUGGUCCGGUGAAGCGUUCGGACCGUGGCCUUUGGACGGUUCGCCGUCUGUUGGCUGCGGGAAGUUCGUUAAACCUUNUNAUUUAGNGGAAGGAGAANUCGUANCA
RNAcentral lists this ribosomal RNA (329 nucleotides) under uncultured eukaryote. Its description in RNAcentral is "partial 18S ribosomal RNA". It matches the Rfam family "Eukaryotic small subunit ribosomal RNA", at positions 1470 to 1796 of the family's 1831-position model. The record is from RNAcentral.